RNAcentral lists this transfer RNA (61 nucleotides) under Nepiomorpha sp. NespEL. RNAcentral's name for it is "tRNA-His". The record is from RNAcentral. Lineage: Eukaryota; Metazoa; Arthropoda; Insecta; Psocodea; Elipsocidae.
GCUUAAAUAGUUUAUGUAAAAUUUAAAUUUGUGGAAUUUAAGAAACUUUUAGUUUUAAGCA